RNAcentral lists this ribosomal RNA (484 nucleotides) under uncultured bacterium. RNAcentral describes it as "partial 16S ribosomal RNA". It matches the Rfam family "Bacterial small subunit ribosomal RNA", at positions 29 to 507 of the family's 1533-position model. The record is from RNAcentral.
AUUGAACGCUGGCGGCAUGCUUUACACAUGCAAGUCGAACGGCAGCGCGGGCUUCGGCCUGGCGGCGAGUGGCGAACGGGUGGGUAAUGCAUCGGAACGUGCCCAGUAGUGGGGGAUAGCCCGGCGAAAGCCGGAUUAAUACCGCAUACGACCUGAUGGUGAAAGCGGGGGACCGAAAGGCCUCGCGCUAUUGGAGCGGCCGAUGUCGGAUUAGCUAGGUGGUGGGGUAAAGGCUUACCAAGGCGACGAUCCGUAGCUGGUCUGAGAGGACGACCAGACACACUGGGACUGAGACACGGCCCAGACUCCUACGGGAGGCAGCAGUGGGGAAUUUUGGACAAUGGGGGCAACCCUGAUCCAGCCAUGCCGCGUGCGGGAAGAAGGCCUUCGGGUUGUAAACCGCUUUUGUUCGGGAAGAAAUACUCUGGGCUAAUACCCCGGGGGGAUGACGGUACCGGAAGAAUAAGCACCGGCUAACUACGUG